Molecule: ribosomal RNA, 460 nt
Filed under: uncultured bacterium
Lineage: Bacteria
Description: partial 16S ribosomal RNA
Rfam family: Bacterial small subunit ribosomal RNA
Source: RNAcentral
CCUACGGGAGGCAGCAGUGAGGAAUAUUGGUCAAUGGACGAGAGUCUGAACCAGCCAAGUAGCGUGAAGGAUGACUGCCCUAUGGGUUGUAAACUUCUUUUAUAAAGGUAUAAAACGAGGCACGUGUGCCUUUUUGCAUGUACUUUAUGAAUAAGGAUCGGCUAACUCCGUGCCAGCAGCCGCGGUAAUACGGAGGAUCCGAGCGUUAUCUGGAUUUAUUGGGUUUAAAGGGAGCGUAGAUGGGUUGUUAAGUCAGUUGUGAAAGUUUGCGGCUCAACCGUAAAAUUGCAAUUGAUACUGGCAGUCUUGAGUACAGUUGAGGUAGGCGGAAUUCGUGGUGUAGCGGUGAAAUGCUUAGAUAUCACGAAGAACCCCGAUUGCGAAGGCAGCUUACUAAACUGUGACUGACAUUGAUGCUCGAAAGCGCGGGUAUCGAACAGGAUUAGAUACCCGAGUAGUC